Molecule: ribosomal RNA, 820 nt
Filed under: uncultured eukaryote
Lineage: Eukaryota
Description: SSU rRNA
Rfam family: Eukaryotic small subunit ribosomal RNA
Source: RNAcentral
CGGUGUUUAACUGGCGUGAUGUGGGACGUCCUACCGGUGGGCUUAGCCUCGCGAGGGGCGGCCCAACUAAUAUCCCGUCGCGGUGCUCUUUACUGAGUGUCGAGUCGGGCCGGUACGUUUACUUUGAACAAAUUAGAGUGCUUAAAGCAGGCUAUCCUCGCCUGAAUACUGCGUGCAUGGAAUAAUGGAAUAGGACCUCGGUUCUAUUUUGUUGGUUUUCGGAACCCCGAGGUAAUGAUUAAUAGGGACAGAUGGGGGCAUUCGUAUUGCGACGUUAGAGGUGAAAUUCUUGGAUCGUCGCAAGACGGACAGAAGCGAAAGCAUUUGCCAAAAAUGUUUUCAUUAAUCAAGAACGAAAGUUAGAGGUUCGAAGGCGAUCAGAUACCGCCCUAGUUCUAACCAUAAACGAUGCCAGCUAGCGAUCCGCCGAAGUUCCUCCGAUGACUCGGCGGGCAGCUUCCGGGAAACCAAAGCUUUUGGGUUCCGGGGGAAGUAUGGUUGCAAAGCUGAAACUUAAAGGAAUUGACGGAAGGGCACCACCAGGAGUGGAGCCUGCGGCUUAAUUUGACUCAGCACGGGAAACCUCACCAGGCCCAGACACCGGAAGGAUUGACAGAUUGAUAGCUCUUUCUUGAUUCGGUGGGUGGUGGUGCAUGGGCCGUUCUUAGUUGGUGGAGCGAUUUGUCUGGUUAAUUCCGAUAACGAACGAGACUCUAGCCUGCUAAAUAGGCGUACCUUAUGGUAUCGCGAAGGCCCCCGGCUUCGGCCGGUGGGUUUUUACUACCAACGUACAAACAAAUCUUCUUAGAGGGACAGGCGG